AGAAAAGAAUACAGUAAAGGCGACUCAAGAGAUGCAGCAAGGAAUGCUGGAUCAGUAGUUGCCGUGGAAGGAUUGACUGCAGUAUUACAGGGUCCAGCAGCUAGCCUUCUACCAGUCUAUGCUAUUGCUGCGGGAAAGUCAUAUAGCUGUAUACUUCAGUUUUGCCAUUUCUCUGGGUGCAACUCUAUGGAACUGCUAUGUAUUUCAUAACUUCCUAACGAUUAUGCUGCAAGUCCAUAUUACUAACUCCUCUUGGGUUGUUACAUCACUUAUCAGUAUCCAUUGUUGGAAGAAGAUUUGUACAGCAUUCAAGUGGAAGGCCAGAAAAGACCAAAAGUCACUGAGAGUUGCGAUUUCCAAAAGCUUAUGCUCUAUUCUGUUGAGUGGCUUGUAAUUAGUUGCUUGGUUGGAUAGAAGGGAAUUGGAAAGAAGUGAAAGGAGCAGUAGUGGAGAAAGUAAAAAAGAAGAAAUGCAUCGGCUGCCCUUUCUUCGGUUUUGUUUGGUAAAUGGUAUGUAACUGACAGAGAGAAGAGAGGAUCGUAGUCUCACCUCCUUGCCAUAUAAAGUGGGGGGGGGGGGGGGGGAUAUAAAUUU
Jatropha curcas is the source of this 594-nucleotide long non-coding RNA. RefSeq annotates it as protein SRC2. The record is from RefSeq and is a predicted model, not a curated record. Lineage: Eukaryota; Viridiplantae; Streptophyta; Magnoliopsida; Malpighiales; Euphorbiaceae.